RNAcentral lists this long non-coding RNA (3046 nucleotides) under Gallus gallus (chicken). RNAcentral describes it as "lncRNA (ENSGALG00010000216.1)". Lineage: Eukaryota; Metazoa; Chordata; Aves; Galliformes; Phasianidae. The record is from RNAcentral.
UUUUGAGGGGGUGAAUCUUUUUCCAUCUCCUGAGUCGCGCCUCCCCUGGUCAGCAAAGGGUCACUGCCGCAAUGGAGUCAUCCAAACUCAGAGGAUUAAUACACAUCCAUUUAUUGACAGCGUUCUUAACAACUGACAACAGCCCACUGGAGGUAACGUUGCCUAAUGGGCUAAUUACAAUUCAUAAGCCUUACAGGUAACCAGCUGAAGGAAAUGGCUGCUACGAAGACUCAAAGAAUCCAAGAAGCCACGUCCUGGCGUCAGGUGCACAUCUUCAGUCUGAUGGGUCGUCGGAGGUGGUGGUGUUCAGUUGACGACGACAGUACCAACUUAUUUGUAAGUCCAAAGUGGUGGCACUCAGCCGCCUGCCGGCACUGCCCCACAGCUGUGCCUGUGCGCCCCUGGGGGCAGGAGCACAGGAGAGGCCCCUUCCGUGGGGACAGAGCUCUCUCCCUGCACCCCACCACUGCGCAGCCCCGAGCUGGGAGGGGGGACUGAGAGGGGCGGUCAGAUGGGCAGCAGCCCAUCACAGACGACACGCAGGCUCCUGCUCGCAAAGUACGCCGGGGAAGCGUACAUUGCCUGGGGCAGCACUCGCAGCAGGAGCCGAUACAACAGCUCCUGGUCAUAGUGCUGGGCGUACAGCACUGCAGAGCCCAGCACGGCAACGAGCAGCAGCAGGAGGCUGACGAAGAUGAGGCAGAUUGUCCUGGGGGGCAAAAGACGGCCGGGCUGGGAAUGAGGCGUUCCGACCCCACGGCAGCACAGCCCCACACAGCACCAAAGGGGCCGCCCGGGAGCCCCGCCGGCUGCAGCGGGGUCCAGGCCAUCAGCCCACUGCCUGGAGCCCGGCUGCUGCUGGCUGGGCACAGGGCAAUGAGGGGAUACUCACUUCAUCCAGAAGGCGAGCCCUCGUCUCCUCGCCUGCUCCUUCUUCUCCUGUAGGUGAAGAUGGGGCAGGGGCGCUGGUCAGGCCCUGCUGCACAGCCGGAGCUCGUGCAGGACAGUGGCAGCCCCAGCACUGCAGGGAGCCCUGUCCCCGAGGAGAACCUUGUCGGACAGGGUGAGGGUGCGCUGGGCUCUGCCCCUUACCAGCUCUGCCUCCACCAGCUCCGGCAGCACAGCCCCAGGCACGUGGGCUGCCUCCAGCUCCAGCUGAUGCUGCUGCCUGUAGGGAACAAGGCCUGCUUGGAGGGUGCCGGCCUCUGUCAGCACGCGGGCUCCCCAGCAGUGCGUGCCCACCCCCGGGCUGGGGUCGGGCUGCUCUGUCACACCAUAUGCUGAACAGAACCCGAGCCCCAAGCCCAGCAGCACUUGCAGACUCCUGAAAAAUACCAUUGUAUCCACACAGCCACUGAGCGGUUGACCACAACUCUGGCUGUGACCAUCCAUCCAAUUCGACAUACAUUCAGGUAGACGGAAAGUGCCAUCCUCUCACCAUCUACCCUCCAGGGUAGAUCCAUCAGCUCCUUUUGGCCUUCCAGCACGCCACACAGAUGAAAUCUCACCGUGACCUUUCAAGUCACAUGCCUGAUGCUGACCUUGCAGGCAAUCAGCUUCCCAGGCAGAAGGGAUCUCUCAAUCCACCUGCCAAGCGGGUGCCUUCUGCUGGCUUACCAGACACACGGGGAUGACCAUGAGCUGCAUUCCUAAAGGUACAGAGCUCAGCCCGGAAUUAAAGGCUGUCGUAUUGGCUACUACAGAAAGAAUGUCUUCCAAGGCCCUUUGCCAGCCUUGUUCCUGCUGCAGGUCUGUCACUUCCAGAGACAGAAAUAACCUCUCAAACAGCAUCUCAGCCACAUGUUUGGUACAAGGUGGUGAGUUCUGCUUGCACAAGUGACCUCACAGCAAAGUAUCCAUGCGUAUACUCAUCUAUAACGUAGCAGAACUUCCCCUCUGGUUGAGGAGGGGAUGGUCCAGAAGAGUCUGGGUGGGAUCAGUGUGGGAUCAGCACAAAUCCAUGGGUCCCGAUGGGAUGCAUCCACGUGUGCUGAGGGAGCUGGCAGAGGUGACUGCUGAACUGCUCUCUGUCGUCUUCGAUAGGCCCUGGAAAACAGGAGAGGUGCCUGAAGACUGGAGGAUAGCCAGUGUCCCUCUGGUGUUCAGAAAGGGCAAGGAGGAGGGUCUGGGAAACUACAGGCCAGUCAGUCUCACCUCUGUCCCUGGGAAGGUGAUGGAACAGCUGAUUCUGGAUGCCAUCUCCAAGCAAUUGGAAGAGAAGAAGGAUAUGAGGAAUGGUCAGCGUGGGUUCACCAAGAGGAAAUAGCGCUCGGCCAACCUGGUGGCCUUCUGUGAUGGCAUCACAGGUUGGGUGGAUGGGGGUGAGAUCAGGAGCUCAGGUGGGUCUGGGGUUUGAACACAUAGGGGUUAAAUAAGCUAGCUUUAGAAACCAGGGAAGGAGAACGACAUCUCAACAUUUCAUGGUCAGCUGUGCAAACACAAAGAAAGGAAACGAUGCAAAAGGAAUGGCUUUGACUGGUUUGAAUGCACCGUAAGAAGGUCAGACCGAGGAAGACGUGAAGCCUUCGCGAGGAACACUUCUGACUUCAUCCCCACGACCACCAGAGGGAGACCCCUCUUAAGGACAGCGCGUGCGCCGGGGGAGGGGCAGUAUGUAAAUGAAUUUCCGGAAGGAUAAUGAAUAUGUAGAUGACUUCCAAGAAUUCUGCUGAAUAUGUAUGGCUUUGGCUUACAAAUCCGUAGCGCUUUUUGCUCGCUGGUGUGCAAGUUUGGUGGAGUGAUCCCCCUUGCACCCGGCCAGCCAAAUAAACAUACCUGCUUUAUAACCUAACCGGGUAUAGAGUUUGAUUCCACACAUCACUGCCAUUCCUGAGUGGUUGGCACUCCGUUUUCUAACUGCCGUUCCCGUGCUGCUUCCGAGGGAGCGUUUCCCAUUGAGCCCACCUACUUCUUCCCCUUUUUUCACCGUCAGCUUCAUCGCUGAGCCCUCUGACUGCCUUUCAUUCACUUUCCCCCAGUUUGGAAGAUUCCCAUUGCUUAUUAGGCCACAGCGAGACACGUUUAUAAAACACAAAUGUGGAACCCG